Manis pentadactyla (Chinese pangolin) is the source of this 977-nucleotide long non-coding RNA. RefSeq lists it as uncharacterized. The transcript has 2 exons. The record is from RefSeq and is a predicted model, not a curated record. Lineage: Eukaryota; Metazoa; Chordata; Mammalia; Pholidota; Manidae.
AAGCGGAAGUGGCGUAGCGCGGGAGCGGCGGCGGAUGCGGAGUGGGAGGCGGCAGCUUGGGCGGGCGCUGGAAAGCGAACCCGAACGUGCGGCGGCCGCUCGCUGGGCAGAGACCACCGUGGGCCCCGCUGUCCGCUCGCCACCGGGCCUUUGCGCGCAGCCGCUCCGCGCUGCCCUGGGGCGGACGCCCCCAGCAUGCCUGCUGUUUCUUUGCACGUCUGACGUCCUCUCGUCUUGCUACAGUAUUCCUUCCCUGACGCCCACCCCCACCUUGACCCCCUUCUCUGUGUUCCCGAUGACCUCUGAUGCUUAACCUGUCACAAUGUGUUGUCUUUUGACCCCAUCAGAAUGUAAAUUCCCUGAGAGCCGGGAUUCUGCAGAGCAAGUUCAAAGCAACUGCUUAGAAUUGAAGCAAAAAGGGUUUUCCAUACGUUGAGUUAAAAAUCCAGAGCAUGAAAGGAUUUUGGGUAAAAAUUCAGGGUCCUGCCCAUCCCUGAUGGCUGAGCAGCCUGGGUUACCCGUUCUCCGGGAAGACAUACUGCAGUUUCUUAUGUGUCAACAGGAAAAGUCUGUGCACGGACAUCUAAUAUGUUUAUACAAAACUUAGGGCCCUUUACGUGUGAUCCUUUUACCCCUCGUGGCUUAGAGGGUGCUCUCUGUGUUCCAGCUUGCAGAUUUUAAUCAUUGCGCCAUGUUUUAUUGGUACUGUAAUUUAUCCUAUUUCCCCGUUGGUAGAAAUUUAGGUCUUUUCCUGUCUUUGUAACAAGUAAUGCUAGACUGUUUCUCCUACAUUUGUACCCAUGUAGGAAUAUUUCUGUAGGCUGAAUUCCUUCGUGGAGAAGUGCUAGGUCAACGGGCUUUCCUAAGAAAGUACAGAGGCGGCGACGAAUACCCCCGUUGCUGACGCUCCAUUAGGCGUGACUAGUGUUUCAUUGUGGCUUUGUGUUUCUUACAGGGAUAAUAAAAUAUCUCAGUUC